CCAGCGCAGCUCUUAUCCCCGCAGACGGGGGCCGAGACAGGUAGCGGGAAGCCUGGCCUCGGAGGCGGCAGUGUCCUGGGCGCCUCUCCGGCUGCUGUUGUAUGGCUGCACGUUGGCGCUGCCGGGCGGGAUGCUGUGUCCCCGGGAGAGCCCGUCGUGGGAGCUCAAGUAGCUGGACGGCCUCUGAAGCUUCCGCGCCGACUUCUCCGACAACCGACGCCGGGGCUUCGAGGAGCAGAGUCAGGCCCCACCUUGGACAUGCGGGUUCCCUCCGGCUUCAACGACAUCGGCCGGGCUGGCGGCUGCGGUAUUUUGUCAGCUGGGUGUGGUAUGAACGGGAGGUGACCCUGCUGGAGCGAUGGAUCCAGGACCUGCGCACAAGAGUGUUGCUGAGGAUUGGCAGUGCCCACUUCUAUGCCAUCGUGAUAUCCCAAGGGUUACUUUGUCCAGAACACAGACUUUGACUUCUUCAACUACGCGGGACUGCUGUGGUCUCUGCUUCUAUACACGACACCCACCACCUACAUCGACAAUGUCACCAUCACCACCGGCGUGGAGCGAGACAGUAGUGAGGGCUUCUGGACUGGAUGGAGGACCUGAAGACAUGUGAGGUUGAUGCACAGGUAGAAGAGAGAUUCUCACCAUCACUGAUUCACACAAAAGCAUUUCUCCAAGUGGUUGUGGAUGACAUGAUUUCCCAAAGUGUUAGAGCUGAAGUGUGUUUCCUUGUGUGUAAUACUGGGUUCCUUUAUCCCUUCAUCUGUGGAUACACAG
RNAcentral lists this small RNA (774 nucleotides) under Pongo abelii (Sumatran orangutan). Its description in RNAcentral is "processed transcript". The record is from RNAcentral. Lineage: Eukaryota; Metazoa; Chordata; Mammalia; Primates; Hominidae.